CGGGUUUCGGGGCAUCGGAACC
This 22-nucleotide microRNA is filed under the name Tribolium castaneum (red flour beetle). RNAcentral's name for it is "Tca-Mir-76_5p* (star (passenger))". The record is from RNAcentral. Lineage: Eukaryota; Metazoa; Arthropoda; Insecta; Coleoptera; Tenebrionidae.